GACGAACGCUGGCGGCGUGCCUAAUACAUGCAAGUAGAACGCACAGUUUAUACCGUAGCUUGCUACACCAUAAACUGUGAGUUGCGAACGGGUGAGUAACGCGUAGGUAACCUGCCUGGUAGCGGGGGAUAACUAUUGGAAACGAUAGCUAAUACCGCAUAAUAUUGAUUAUUGCAUGAUAAUUGAUUGAAAGAUGCUAUUUCAUCACUACCAGAUGGAUCUGCGUUGUAUUAGCUAGUAGGGGAGGUAACGGCUCACCUACGCGACGAUACAUAGCCGACCUUGGAGGGUGGUCGGCCACACUGGGACUGAGACACGGCCCAGGCUCCUACGGGAGGCAGCAGUAGGGGAACUUCGGCAAUGGACGAAAGUCUGGCCGAGCAAAGCCGCGUGGGUGAAGAAGGUUUUCGGAUCGUAAAGCUCUGUUGUAAGAGAAGAACGGGUGUGAGAGUGGAAAGUUCACACUGUGACGGUAUCUUACCAGAAAGGGACGGCUAACUACGUG
This 505-nucleotide ribosomal RNA is filed under the name uncultured bacterium. RNAcentral describes it as "partial 16S ribosomal RNA". It matches the Rfam family "Bacterial small subunit ribosomal RNA", at positions 28 to 507 of the family's 1533-position model. The record is from RNAcentral.